Molecule: ribosomal RNA, 505 nt
Filed under: Corynoptera deserta
Lineage: Eukaryota; Metazoa; Arthropoda; Insecta; Diptera; Sciaridae
Description: partial small subunit ribosomal RNA
Source: RNAcentral
GUCUUUUUGUAAUUUAUAUAAAGUCUAACCUGCCCAUUGAUUAAUUUAAAAGGCUGCGGUAUUUUGACCGUACAAAGGUAGCAUAAUCAUUAGUUUUUUAAUUGAAAACUGGUAUGAAUGGUUGAAUGAAAAAUUAACUUUUUUAGAUAAAAUAUUGAAUUUUACUUUUUAAUUAAAAGGUUAAAAUAAAUUUAAAAGACGAGAAGACCCUAUAGAGUUUUAUAAUUUAUUAUAUAUUUUUAAAAAAGAUUAAAUAAAUUUUUAUAAAAUAAAUUAUUUUGUUGGGGUGAUAUUAAAAUUUAAAUAACUUUUAAAAAUUAUACCAUUAAUAUAUGAAUAAAUGAUCCAUUAUUAAUGAUUAAAAAUUUAAAUUACCUUAGGGAUAACAGCGUAAUUUUUUUUUAAGUUCUUAUUAAUAAAAAAUUUUGCGACCUCGAUGUUGGAUUAAGAUUUAAUUUUAGGUGCAGCAGUUUAAAUUUUAAGUCUGUUCGACUUUUAAAUUCUU